AGUGCUGCGCCGGUUAGAACGGAUUACAUUGAUGUCGUAAAAUAUAAUAUCCCCUAUUCAGCACUA
RNAcentral lists this transfer RNA (66 nucleotides) under Psilodens balduri. RNAcentral's name for it is "tRNA-Ile". The record is from RNAcentral. Lineage: Eukaryota; Metazoa; Mollusca; Caudofoveata; Limifossorida; Limifossoridae.